Molecule: ribosomal RNA, 250 nt
Filed under: uncultured bacterium
Lineage: Bacteria
Description: partial 16S ribosomal RNA
Rfam family: Bacterial small subunit ribosomal RNA
Source: RNAcentral
UACGUAGGGGGCAAGCGUUGUCCGGAAUCAUUGGGCGUAAAGCGCACGUAGGCGGCCCGGUAAGUCCGCUCUGAAAGUCAGAGGCUCAACCUCUGGAGGCGAGUGGAUACUGCCGGGCUAGAGUCCGGAAGAGGCGAGUGGAAUUCCUGGUGUAGCGGUGGAAUGCGCAGAUAUCAGGAGGAACACCUAUGGCGAAGGCAGCUCGCUGGGACGGUACUGACGCUGAGGUGCGAAAGCGUGGGGAGCGAAC